RNAcentral lists this ribosomal RNA (885 nucleotides) under uncultured Oceanospirillaceae bacterium. RNAcentral describes it as "bacterial SSU rRNA". It matches the Rfam family "Bacterial small subunit ribosomal RNA", at positions 56 to 935 of the family's 1533-position model. The record is from RNAcentral. Lineage: Bacteria; Pseudomonadati; Pseudomonadota; Gammaproteobacteria; Oceanospirillales; Oceanospirillaceae.
UGCAGUCGAGCGGAACGAUGAUAGCUUGCUAUCAGGCGUCGAGCGGCGGACGGGUGAGCAGGCUUAGGAAUCUACCGAGUAGUGGGGGAUAGCCCAGAGAAAUUUGGAUUAAUACCGCAUACGCCCUACGGGGGAAAGCAGGGGAUCUUCGGACCUUGCGCUAUUUGAUGAGCCUGAGUGAGAUUAGCUAGUUGGUGGGGUAAAGGCCUACCAAGGCGACGAUCUCUAGCUGGUCUGAGAGGAUGAUCAGCCACACUGGGACUGAGACACGGCCCAGACUCCUACGGGAGGCAGCAGUGGGGAAUAUUGCACAAUGGGCGCAAGCCUGAUGCAGCCAUGCCGCGUGUGUGAAGAAGGCUUUCGGGUUGUAAAGCACUUUCAGCAGCGAGGAAAGGUUAUGUAUUAAUACUGCAUAGCUGUGACGUUAACUGCAGAAGAAGCACCGGCUAACUUAGUGCCAGCAGCCGCGGUAAUACUAAAGGUGCAAGCGUUAAUCGGAAUUACUGGGCGUAAAGCGCGCGUAGGUGGUUUGUUAAGCGGAAUGUGAAAGCCCAGGGCUCAACCUUGGAACUGCAUUGCGAACUGGCAGACUAGAGUAUGGUAGAGGUCAGUGGAAUUUCCUGUGUAGCGGUAAAAUGCGUAGAGAUGUGAAGGAACACCAGUGGCGAAGGCGACUGACUGGACCAAUACUGACACUGAGGUGCGAAAGCGUGGGGAGCGAACAGGAUUAGAUACCCUGGUAGUCCACGCCGUAAACGAUGUCUACUAGCCGUUGGGUGACUUGAUCACUUAGUGGCGCAGCUAACGCGAUAAGUAGACCGCCUGGGGAGUACGGUCGCAAGAUUAAAACUCAAAUGAAUUGACGGGGGCCCGCACAAGCGGUGG